Molecule: ribosomal RNA, 510 nt
Filed under: uncultured bacterium
Lineage: Bacteria
Description: partial 16S ribosomal RNA
Rfam family: Bacterial small subunit ribosomal RNA
Source: RNAcentral
GACGAACGCUGGCGGCGUGCUUAACACAUGCAAGUCGAACGAAGAGCGAUGGAAGCUUGCUUCUAUCAAUCUUAGUGGCGAACGGGUGAGUAACGCGUAAUCAACCUGCCCUUCAGAGGGGGACAACAGUUGGAAACGACUGCUAAUGCCGCAUACGAUCUAAUCUCGGCAUCGAGGAUAGAUGAAAGGUGGCCUCUACAUGUAAGCUAUCACUGAAGGAGGGGAUUGCGUCUGAUUAGCUAGUUGGAGGGGUAACGGCCCACCAAGGCGAUGAUCAGUAGCCGGUCUGAGAGGAUGAACGGCCACAGUGGGACUGAGACACGGCCCAGACUCCUACGGGAGGCAGCAGGGGGGAAUCUUCCGCAAUGGACGAAAGUCUGACGGAGCAACGCCGCGGGAGUGAUGACGGCCUUCGGGUUGUAAAGCUCUGUUAAUCGGGACGAAAGGCCUUCUUGCGAAUAGUGAGAAGGAUUGACGGUACCGGAAUAGAAAGCCACGGCUAACUACGUG